GAAAUGCGAUAAGUAAUGUGAAUUGCAGAAUUCAGUGAAUCAUCGAAUCUUUGAACGCACCUUGCGCUCCUUGGUAUUCCUUGGGGCAUGCUUGUUUGAGUAUCAUGAAAUCUUCAAAGUAAAUCUUUUGUUAACUCAAUUGGUUUCUACUUUGGUAUUGGAGGUCUUUGCAGCUUCACACCUGCUCCUCUUUGUUCAUUAGCUGGAUCUCAGUGUUAUGCUUGGUUCCACUCGGCGUGAUAAGUUAUCUAUCGCUGAGGACACUGUAAAAGGUGGCCAAGGUAAAUGCAGAUGAACCGCUUCUAAUAGUCCAUUGACUUGGACAAUACUUUUAUGAUCUGAUCUCAAAUCAGGUAGGACUACCCGCUGAACUUAAGC
RNAcentral lists this unclassified non-coding RNA (378 nucleotides) under plant metagenome. Its description in RNAcentral is "partial contains 5.8S ribosomal RNA, internal transcribed spacer 2, and large subunit ribosomal RNA". The stretch from base 1 to 105 matches the Rfam family "5.8S ribosomal RNA", at positions 50 to 154 of the family's 154-position model. The record is from RNAcentral.